This 204-nucleotide ribosomal RNA is filed under the name uncultured bacterium. RNAcentral's name for it is "partial 16S ribosomal RNA". It matches the Rfam family "Bacterial small subunit ribosomal RNA", at positions 1301 to 1500 of the family's 1533-position model. The record is from RNAcentral.
CAGUCUGCAACUCGACUGCACGAAGCUGGAAUCGCUAGUAAUCGCGGAUCAGCACGCCGCGGUGAAUACGUUCCCGGGCCUUGUACACACCGCCCGUCACACCAUGGAAGUCUGCAAUGCCCGAAGCCGGUGGCCUAACCACUUAUGUGGGAGGAGCCGUCUAAGGCAGGGCAGAUGACUGGGGUGAAGUCGUAACAAGGUACC